UUGACAAGCACGCGUGUCGAUGGUCGCGCGAUACCGCUAAAAACUUGGCCGGGUGCACAUGCGAGGAGCAUUUAAAUACUGUCACCAUUGUGCAACCCCCUGAGUCGCAUUUGUUUCAAGCUUUGAAGUGGAUCGGCCAAGGUUACUUGGACUGGCUGCCUAGAUAAGCUUGUGGCCAGCAGGAGCCAUAGCCACAGCUACAGCUUUAGCCCUACAACCACAAAGAAGAGGCUGGAAUUCAGGCCGGGUCAAGUCAACAUUGUGAAGGCAUUUGGGAUCCUGCCAUCCUCGUCGUCUAUGAUUAAGAGCCAGCACCAAGUUUGUGAUGCGAAGUGAAUAAAUACUGCAUGUUUCUUCCCCUUUCAUCGCACUGUCUUCGAGUUCCAU
This is a long non-coding RNA of Dermacentor albipictus, 387 nucleotides long. RefSeq lists it as uncharacterized. NCBI's taxonomy places the organism in Eukaryota, Metazoa, Arthropoda, Arachnida, Ixodida, Ixodidae. The record is from RefSeq and is a predicted model, not a curated record.